GGGUGAUUAGCUCAGUUGGCGAGAGCGUCUGGUUUACACCCAGAAGGUCGCGGGUUCGAAUCCCUCAUCACCCACCA
RNAcentral lists this transfer RNA (77 nucleotides) under Candidatus Peribacteria bacterium. Its description in RNAcentral is "tRNA-Val". It matches the Rfam family "tRNA". From Rfam's summary of the family: Transfer RNA (tRNA) molecules are approximately 80 nucleotides in length. Their secondary structure includes four short double-helical elements and three loops (D, anti-codon, and T loops). Further hydrogen bonds mediate the characteristic L-shaped molecular structure. tRNAs have two regions of fundamental functional importance: the anti-codon, which is responsible for specific mRNA codon recognition, and the 3' end, to which the tRNAs corresponding amino acid is attached (by aminoacyl-tRNA synthetases). tRNAs cope with the degeneracy of the genetic code in two manners: having more than one tRNA (with a specific anti-codon) for a particular amino acid; and 'wobble' base-pairing, i.e. permitting non-standard base-pairing at the 3rd anti-codon position. Lineage: Bacteria; Candidatus Peregrinibacteriota; Candidatus Peribacteria. The record is from RNAcentral.